Molecule: long non-coding RNA, 1214 nt
Filed under: Triticum aestivum (bread wheat)
Lineage: Eukaryota; Viridiplantae; Streptophyta; Magnoliopsida; Poales; Poaceae
Description: long non-coding RNA (TAES_LNC020438)
Source: RNAcentral
UGCAUUCUAUCUUGUUGGGAUCCCCGUUGCACUCUUUUUUGGUUUUACAAUGCAACUAAGAGGAAUGGGAUUUUGGAUUGGCAUGAUAGCUGGUGGAGCCACACAGGUCACUCUCCUAUCUGUGAUAACUGCCACUACAAAAUGGGACAAGAUGGUAAGUUCUUUCUCCAUUUUAAAGUCUGUUUCUUAUCCAUAACACUUCGUUGAUGUCGCCAAUGCUUCUCCUUUCCGUGAAUCUUUCAUUGCUAUAACUGAGGUUUCCUCUAUCUAAACCCUAAACAACAGGACCCUGGGAUAAAAAAUAAAUAAAAUAAAUAUGUGGCAUGCUGUUGGAAAUCAAACGUGAUUCCAAGUUCAUUGAUACGUCAACGUGCUUGAUUUUCUCCGGGACACUUUUUUUUACUCUUGUCACUGCCCAAUCAUCCAUCAAUGGACCUCUGCCCCUCUGCCGGUGUUGUCCCAAGAUGGAGAAGGGGGAAGGUGAUUGAAACAAAAUUCAGUCUAAACUCUGAAGCGACCUAUACCUGGUUUAAAUUCACAGUUUUGCUAGGCCGCAGGUGCAUGUUAUUUUGUUUUCACGGGCCAUCGCCCCGCUUUGAUGGAUGCGUGAUUAAUGAACUAAGACUAAUUUAUCAACAAUUGGACGGUUAAGAAAAAAAUGGAGGUUGUAUAUCGCUGUGACUGAUGUUAUGCGAAAGAAACCAGUAAUACUUCAUAAGAAUUGGAUCAGAUUGGCCUAGAUGCUUGUUUCCUAUAUUGCUUUGAAGUCAUACCUGUGAACUAUGAUGUAUAUAUAAGUUAUAUUGUGUCUAUUUGCAGGCUGACAAGGCUAAGGAGAGAGUAUUUGAAGACAGGCUUCCAACACAAUAAGACUUGAAGAGGUGCCAUGUCAAAAUUUUGAAGAGCUAAAUAAUCAGAGAGUUCUAAUUACCUUUAAUUACUUUGAGAAAAGCAUCAUCGAUGUUCUUGUCACGCGCAAAGAAAAUUUUCACACAAUUGGCUCAGUUUGGCAUGGUGUGGUUUCAUGGUGGACUGGUGGUGUUUUACUGUUUUUUCUUUCUUGAUAGGUUGUUUUGCGUGGUGCCUAUCUUCCCUUGUAUUGGAUUUUUUUUGCGGGCAAGCUUUGUAUUAGUCAAUCACUGCCGGGCUUACAUUCUUUAUCACAAAGAUCAACUGUCUUUGCAGGACGCGGUCUAACAACAGUUAUACCCUCA